AUUGAACGCUGGCGGCAGGCCUAACACAUGCAAGUCGAACGAGUGGCGGACGGGUGAGUAAUGUCUGGGAAACUGCCCGAUGGAGGGGGAUAACUACUGGAAACGGUAGAUAAUACCGCAUACCAUCGGAUGUGCCCAGAUGGGUUGAGCUUGUAGGUGGGGUAACGGCUCACCUAGGCGACGAGCCCUAGCUGGUCUGAGAGGAUGACCAGCCAACAUGGAACUGAGACACGGUCCAGAGGCCUACGGUAGGCAGCAGUGGGGAAUAUUGGACAAUGGGCGCAAGCCUGAUGCAGCCAUGGCGCGUGAAUGAAGAAGGCCUUCGGGGUGGAAAGUACUUUCAGCGAGGAGGCGUUACUCGCAGAAGAAGCACCGGCUAACUCCGUGCCAGCAGCCGCGGUAAUUC
This 406-nucleotide ribosomal RNA is filed under the name uncultured bacterium. Its description in RNAcentral is "partial 16S ribosomal RNA". It matches the Rfam family "Bacterial small subunit ribosomal RNA", at positions 29 to 526 of the family's 1533-position model. The record is from RNAcentral.